GACACCUGGCCCUGCCCUGCCCCUUCCAUGCUAUCUCUGCCUCAGAGCCAGCCUCACCAUGGACUGAACACUCCAGAACAUGAGCCAGAGUAAACCUCUUUUCCGUGCAGACAAACCUUAUGAUUUUCAAUGGAUGUGCUUGUGUAAGACCUUUAAAAACCAAGACCUGCGUGUUCUUCAUGAAAAUGUAAGAGUCCCUGACAUUUAGGGUAACAGAAGGAGUUGCUCUGAUAUUCUUUGCUAAAUUUACAAGAUUUGGCUGAAACCCCAAGCGUCUGUCCUAUCACAGUAGUGAACGAUCCACUUGAAUGUCGGACCACCAUCCUGUAUAGCACCACAUGGAAAGCAGAAGAAAAGAACUUGGGCAUUCCUGAAACAGUGCUGCAGGUUUGAAGUUUGGGCUCCAUUUGACAAAGAAGCACAAGGCAGUGGGAAGGAGCCCUACACCAACUGAUCGGAUCAAUAUGUGGGAUGUGUUGAACCAUACGGAAUUCUUGGGCGAGGCCAUAACCUCCCGCCACCAAGGAAACAUGUCAUCCAUCCCCAUCACAUUCACCACCAUUUUCGAGGACUGCAUGGAUUUCCAAGGGGAGUUUGUGGAGCAUCAUUAAAACAAAACCGCUGAUUGCUA
Long non-coding RNA from Octodon degus (degu), 631 nucleotides. RefSeq lists it as uncharacterized. The record is from RefSeq and is a predicted model, not a curated record. The transcript has 3 exons. Lineage: Eukaryota; Metazoa; Chordata; Mammalia; Rodentia; Octodontidae.